Molecule: long non-coding RNA, 980 nt
Organism: Athalia rosae (coleseed sawfly)
Lineage: Eukaryota; Metazoa; Arthropoda; Insecta; Hymenoptera; Athaliidae
Exons: 3
Source: RefSeq, a predicted model, not a curated record
GUUUCGCAUCGACUGUAUGUUCGGCUUGGACUCUGACAAAAUACUGACUGACGGCUGACGAGCUGUAAUUAUCAACGGCCUUGUUCAAAACCUCAAAGAGAUUAAAGGGUUAUUACGAAAGAUAGUUGGACUGUGAAACGAGAGAAUUAUAAGGGAGAUUAUGAGGGGUUUUAAUGAAGAGAACGUUGAGCAUUCGAUAACGGUCGUCGUCGUGUUGAACAAUAUUUAAGCCGAGAAGACAAUGUCACACCACAGAGAAACUUACCACUUUGAUCGACUAUCGAUUACGUCUGGUAGUCGCGAACCUUCUGAUACGUGACCGACGACAGAUUACUCUUAUUAUUACUCUCAUAUAGUCAUGAUGGAUUUAUUUCUAAACCGUAGCAAUUAAAGACGAUAUACUUCAUCGCGAAAUUUAAUAAGUGUAUUCGUAAAGUCAAAUUUAACGAUUUGCCUCGUUUUAAUUUAUUCGAUUCAUGUAUAGUGUUUAGAUAGGUAUAUCCACACCAAAACUACAGCUAGAACAUCUUUGUCUGAUACAGAGAAUUGAAAAACUUAUCGUAAAAAAAAACUUCCCUCAAUUAAAAGUACUACAUAUUUUUGCACUGAUGCGGAAGAUAAAUGGAAUUGAUUGCCGCGUGAGAUCGACUGUGAGAUGGAUGAUCAAUUUCAUCGACUAGUUCGUCUCUAUGCACUUGUCCAGGAUAAUCCGGUGGCAACGGGGAGAGGACCUCUUUGGUCAGGGCUUCGAAAGCGUCCAGCAUUACAGCACGUGUCCUAAUGAUCAAGUCGUCGACAUCCUUCAAUUCGAGUCCAUCCGUGAAAAUCGGUUUCAAACAGGAUGAAUGGCAUGCUUCCAAGGGCGAUUAUAGAAGAUACCAAGUAGUAAAGGAUAAACCUAACGUUAAAACGGAUGACGUCAUGACUGUCCGAGCUUAGGACUAGAACAAUCAUGAACAAAAUCGUCACCAACAGAUACA